AUGCACGCUGGCGGCGUGCCUCAUCCAUGCCAGUCGAGCGAACAGAUGAGGAGCUUGCUCCUCUGACGUUAGCGGCGGACGGGUGAGUAACACGUGGAUAACCUACCUAUAAGACUGGGAUAACUUCGGGAAACCGGAGCUAAUACCGGAUAAUAUAUUGAACCGCAUGGUUCAAUAGUGAAAGACGGUUUUGCUGUCACUUAUAGAUGGAUCCGCGCCGCAUUAGCUAGUUGGUAAGGUAACGGCUUACCAAGGCAACGAUGCGUAGCCGACCUGAGAGGGUGAUCGGCCACACUGGAACUGAGACACGGUCCAGACUCCUACGGGAGGCAGCAGUAGGGAAUCUUCCGCAAUGGGCGAAAGCCUGACGGAGCAACGCCGCGUGAGUGAUGAAGGUCUUCGGAUCGUAAAACUCUGUUAUUAGGGAAGAACAAAUGUGUAAGUAACUAUGCACGUCUUGACGGUACCUAAUCAGAAAGCCACGGCUAACUACGUG
Molecule: ribosomal RNA, 496 nt
Filed under: uncultured bacterium
Lineage: Bacteria
Description: partial 16S ribosomal RNA
Rfam family: Bacterial small subunit ribosomal RNA
Source: RNAcentral